UCUCAGGCCAAGGAGGCAGAAUGAGAGUGAAGGUUCAAAUUUGUCACUUCCCAAUAACUGGCCCACAGACAUGUUUGUACAAGCCUUUCUGUCAUCUCUAAGAUGGGAUACUGAUCUGACUCAAAGCAAAUGCUCAGUCAAUGUGCUCAAUAAAUUAUUACUGUUGUUGUUACUAAAAGACAGUCACGAAAAGGAACCAAAGCAUGAGCUUCUGAAUGGCAGGUCAAGGGAAGAAGGCACAGAAGUUCAGAGCUCACAGUGCUGAGGCGCCCAGGGCAUUAUCAGGAGCCAACAUUCUCCUGUUUUAGAGGGAAAUCUCAUAAAUCACACUUCGCUGACAGGAGACGAUUUGGAGAGAGCAGAGAAACCUCCCUCAGUUCACACAAGCAGCUGGAGCCUGGAGCAGCUUGGACAGCUCACAGUCAAGCAUCUCUCACAGGAAACGCCCUGGCAGGAGCGAGUGCUGCCUGCCUGCCGAUGCUGUGGAACCUGCUGGGAUCUGAUUACUCAUCUCCUUAUUUCUAACUCCCUCCCAAGUUGCUCCUCCUCAGAGCCAGCACAGAUUUGGCUUUUCUCAUCAGAGAUUUCAAAGAGAGAGAAAAAUAAAUAAAUAAAACAAC
RNAcentral lists this long non-coding RNA (620 nucleotides) under Capra hircus (goat). RNAcentral's name for it is "lncRNA (ENSCHIG00000000642.1)". Lineage: Eukaryota; Metazoa; Chordata; Mammalia; Artiodactyla; Bovidae. The record is from RNAcentral.